Molecule: ribosomal RNA, 445 nt
Filed under: uncultured bacterium
Lineage: Bacteria
Description: bacterial SSU rRNA
Rfam family: Bacterial small subunit ribosomal RNA
Source: RNAcentral
GUAGGGAAUAUUGGGCAAUGGAGGCAACUCUGACCCAGCCAUGCCGCGUGCAGGAAGACGGUCCUCUGGAUUGUAAACUGCUUUUGAAUGGGAAGAAACGUAGCUUUGCGAAGCUAUUUGACGGUACUAUUAGAAUAAGCACCGGCUAACUCCGUGCCAGCAGCCGCGGUAAUACGGAGGGUGCAAGCGUUAUCCGGAUUUAUUGGGUUUAAAGGGUGCGUAGGCGGCUUUAUAAGUCUGGGGUUAAAGGCGGCAGCUUAACUGUACGCAUGCCCUGGAAACUGUGAAGCUUGAGUGACUUGGAGGUAGCUAGAAUUCCCUGUGCAGCGGUGAAAUGCAUAGAUACGGGGAGGAAUACCGAUUGCGAAGGCAUGUUACUACGAGUAAACUGACGCUGAUGCACGAAAGCGUGGGGAUCAAACAGGAUUAGAAACCCGUGUAGUCC